UGAGGAAUAUUGGUCAAUGGACGGAAGUCUGAACCAGCCAAGUAGCGUGCAGGAUGACGGCCCUCCGGGUUGUAAACUGCUUUUAGUUGGGAAUAAAAAGAGGGACGUGUCCCUAAUUGUAUGUACCUUCAGAAAAAGGACCGGCUAAUUCCGUGCCAGCAGCCGCGGUAAUACGGAAGGUCCAGGCGUUAUCCGGAUUUAUUGGGUUUAAAGGGAGCGUAGGCGGAUUAUUAAGUCAGUGGUGAAAGACGGUGGCUCAACCAUCGUUAGCCAUUGAAACUGGUAGUCUUGAGUGCAGACAGGGAUGCUGGAACUCGUGGUGUAGCGGUGAAAUGCUUAGAUAUCACGAUGAACUCCGAUCGCGAAGGCAGGUGUCCGGGCUGCAACUGACGCUGAGGCUCGAAAGUGUGGGUAUCAAACAGGAUUAGAUACCCUGGUAGUCCACACAGUAAACGAUGUAUACUCGCGGUUUGCGAUACAAUGUAAGCCGCCAAGCGAAAGCAUUAAGUAUACCACCUGGGGAGUACGCCGGCAACGGUG
Molecule: ribosomal RNA, 540 nt
Filed under: uncultured bacterium
Lineage: Bacteria
Description: bacterial SSU rRNA
Rfam family: Bacterial small subunit ribosomal RNA
Source: RNAcentral